Molecule: ribosomal RNA, 253 nt
Filed under: uncultured bacterium
Lineage: Bacteria
Description: partial 16S ribosomal RNA
Rfam family: Bacterial small subunit ribosomal RNA
Source: RNAcentral
UACGUAGGGACCAAGCGUUGUUCGGAUUUACUGGGCGUAAAGGGCGCGUAGGCGGCGUGUCAAGUCAAUUGUGAAAUCUCCGGGCUUAACUCGGAACGGUUAAUUGAUACUGAUGUGCUAGAGUGCAGAAGGGGCAAUCGGAAUUCUUGGUGUAGCGGUGAAAUGCGUAGAUAUCAAGAGGAACACCUGAGGUGAAGACGGGUUGCUGGGCUGACACUGACGCUGAGGCGCGAAAGCUAGGGUAGCAAACGGG